GUGACUGCGUACCUUUUGUAUAAUGGGUCAGCGACUUAUAUUCUGUAGCAAGGUUAACCGAAUAGGGGAGCCGGAGGGAAACCGAGUCUUAACCGGGCGUUAAGUUGCAGGGUAUAGACCCGAAACCCGGUGAUCUAGCCAUGGGCAGGUUGAAGGUUGGGUAACACUAACUGGAGGACCGAACCGACUAAUGUUGAAAAAUUAGCGGAUGACCUGUGGCUGGGGGUGAAAGGCCAAUCAAACCGGGAGAUAGCUGGUUCUCCCCGAAAGCUAUUUAGGUAGCGCCUCGUGAAUUCAUCUCCGGGGGUAGAGCACUGUUUCGGCUAGGGGGCCAUCCCGGCUUACCAACCCGAUGCAAACUGCGAAUACCGGAGAAUGUUAUCACGGGAGACACACGGCGGGUGCUAACGUCCGUCGUGAAGAGGGAAACAACCCAGACCGCCAGCUAAGGUCCCAAAGUCAUGGUUAAGUGGGAAACGAUGUGGGAAGGCCCAGACAGCCAGGAUGUUGGCUUAGAAGCAGCCAUCAUUUAAAGAAAGCGUAAUAGCUCACUGGUCGAGUCGGCCUGCGCGGAAGAUGUAACGGGGCUAAACCAUGCACCGAAGCUGCGGCAGCGACGCUUAUGCGUUGUUGGGUAGGGGAGCGUUCUGUAAGCCUGUGAAGGUGGCCUGUGAGGGUUGCUGGAGGUAUCAGAAGUGCGAAUGCUGACAUAA
RNAcentral lists this ribosomal RNA (713 nucleotides) under Salmonella enterica subsp. enterica serovar Weltevreden. Its description in RNAcentral is "bacterial LSU rRNA". It matches the Rfam family "Bacterial large subunit ribosomal RNA", at positions 593 to 1305 of the family's 2925-position model. Lineage: Bacteria; Pseudomonadati; Pseudomonadota; Gammaproteobacteria; Enterobacterales; Enterobacteriaceae. The record is from RNAcentral.